GGAGAGAUGACAGAGUGGUUGAAUGUACCGCACUCGAAAUGCGGAGUACCAUAAUGGUAUCGGGGGUUCGAAUCCCCCUCUCUCCUCCA
This 89-nucleotide transfer RNA is filed under the name Candidatus Liberibacter ctenarytainae. RNAcentral's name for it is "tRNA-Ser". It matches the Rfam family "tRNA". From Rfam's summary of the family: Transfer RNA (tRNA) molecules are approximately 80 nucleotides in length. The record is from RNAcentral. Lineage: Bacteria; Pseudomonadati; Pseudomonadota; Alphaproteobacteria; Hyphomicrobiales; Rhizobiaceae.